RNAcentral lists this long non-coding RNA (1316 nucleotides) under Capra hircus (goat). RNAcentral describes it as "lncRNA (ENSCHIG00010002728.1)". Lineage: Eukaryota; Metazoa; Chordata; Mammalia; Artiodactyla; Bovidae. The record is from RNAcentral.
GUUCUACUGAGGUUUGUUCUUAAACUUAUAUACAGAAUAUAUUUAUCCCACUUAGAUGUGCGGCAUUUCAUAUUAGACUUGAAGAACGUUUUUUCCUCUGUGUUAUUUGAUAAGUUCCAUGUUUUUGUUUAAUAUUUUUCAGACAAACUGCAUGUCGUUCAUACUUUCAUCAUACGUUUGUACUGGAGAACAUGAGCCAGUCUGUGCAACCAAUGGUCAGACUUACCGUAAUAUAUGUGUUCUCUGCAGUGAAAAGAUGCUUCUUCGUGAAAAUUUUGAAGUUGAUCAUUUUGGUGUUUGUUGAAUUUUGAUGAAGAUACACACCCUUAUAGUUCUAAUGUGAUCUAAUUUUGCAGUCAGUUCUACAAUUAGAAUUUGAUUUCUUUCAACUGGGUCCUUAAAUUCACAGAUCAGAUAAAUCCUCUUAUGGAACAUGAGAUGGAAAAUAGAAUUUCAAAGUUACUGCCAAUUCCAAGAUUUUUUUAUUUCAGGACUUUGAUUCUCCAUGUUUGAUUAUUCAGUGACAGUUUGAAAAAUAUCUUAAAUAUGUUUGAUAUCAUAAAACCUAAUACAACUUAAAAUCUUAAAUAUUUCAUUCAAAAAAGUNNNNNNNNNNNNNNNNNNNNNNNNNNNNNNNNNNNNNNNNNNNNNNNNNNNNNNCCGUAGACGAUAGCCCAGCAGACUCCUUUGUCCACAGGAUUCUUCAGGCAAGAAUACUGGAGUGGAUUGCCAUUUCCCCCUCCAGGUAACUCAAUGGUUUUUAGUAAAUUUAAAAAGUUAUGAAAGUAUCACCUGAUCUGCCCCUGAUAGCUUACAGUGAACGACAUCAGAUUCAUGAUCUCCGAAGAAGAUGUAGCUUCCGGACCAGGGACCAGACUUGAUCACUCAAGAGCUUUUAUGUAGCAGAGUUAUAUUAGAGUAUAAAAGGGGACAAACAAAGCUUCUGACAUAGACAUCAGUAGGGGGACAGAGAGUGCCCCCACUCACUAGUCUUAGUGAGGCCUUAUAUACUUUCAUCAGACCCACUCCCACAACAUACACCUUAAAUUAACAAGAUUAGAACUAACAAUAGAAAGGUCUUACCAGACACACUCCCAUAAUAUACCUCAACAUAACAAGAUUAGUCAGAAGGUUCUUGUUAAGGAGGAACAUGUCUUUGAGCAAGACACACUGUUAUAUUGACUAAGACAAAGCAAUGUAGAAAAAAAAGAUGUCCCCUUCCCCUUGAUGCCCCAGACCCCUUUCUCCUUCUCUAGGGCUCCAGACCCCUUUCUCCUCCUUGGGGACCCUGGACUUAUCAACCUACCUAGGAAUUG